This 515-nucleotide ribosomal RNA is filed under the name Escherichia sp. RNAcentral's name for it is "bacterial SSU rRNA". It matches the Rfam family "Bacterial small subunit ribosomal RNA", at positions 13 to 517 of the family's 1533-position model. The record is from RNAcentral. Lineage: Bacteria; Pseudomonadati; Pseudomonadota; Gammaproteobacteria; Enterobacterales; Enterobacteriaceae.
UUGAUCCUGGCUCAGAUUGAACGCUGGCGGCAGGCCUAACACAUGCAAGUCGAACGGUAACAGGAAGCAGCUUGCUGCUUUGCUGACGAGUGGCGGACGGGUGAGUAAUGUCUGGGAAACUGCCUGAUGGAGGGGGAUAACUACUGGAAACGGUAGCUAAUACCGCAUAACGUCGCAAGACCAAAGAGGGGGACCUUCGGGCCUCUUGCCAUCGGAUGUGCCCAGAUGGGAUUAGCUAGUAGGUGGGGUAAAGGCUCACCUAGGCGACGAUCCCUAGCUGGUCUGAGAGGAUGACCAGCCACACUGGAACUGAGACACGGUCCAGACUCCUACGGGAGGCAGCAGUGGGGAAUAUUGCACAAUGGGCGCAAGCCUGAUGCAGCCAUGCCGCGUGUAUGAAGAAGGCCUUCGGGUUGUAAAGUACUUUCAGCGGGGAGGAAGGGAGUAAAGUUAAUACCUUUGCUCAUUGACGUUACCCGCAGAAGAAGCACCGGCUAACUCCGUGCCAGCAGCCG